This 2569-nucleotide ribosomal RNA is filed under the name Metschnikowia caudata. RNAcentral describes it as "large subunit ribosomal RNA". The stretch from base 99 to 2328 matches the Rfam family "Bacterial large subunit ribosomal RNA". Lineage: Eukaryota; Fungi; Ascomycota; Pichiomycetes; Serinales; Metschnikowiaceae. The record is from RNAcentral.
AGGUGAUAUAUUGAAAAAUGGUAUAUGUUAUUAAUAUUAUUUUAAGGAUCUAUUUAUAUGUAAGAGUAUAAAGAAUUAAUAUUUAAGAAAUGAUAAAAAGAUGAGAAUCGAUCAAGAUUAUGAAAAUAAAGAAAAAGAAAUCAAGUGGAAUGAAACAUCUGAGUAACUUGAGAAAUAAUCAACAGAGAUAAUAUGAGUAACGGUGAGUGAAAGUAUUAAAAAUCUAAAAGUAUAAUUAAGAAAUUAGAAGAAAGUAGAAACCAUCUACUAAGAUUAAGAAAUAAAUAUUAAAUAAAAGUACCGUAAGGGAAAAAGAGAAAAUAGAAUAAUAAAGAGCAGUUAUAGAUAUAACGUACCUUUUGUAUAAUGGGCCAGUGAGUUAUGUAUUUUAGUGAAAUAAUAAAAUUAUAAAUAAAUUGAAAAAAUAAAAUUAAAGUACAUAGGCCCGAAAGCAAACGAUCUACACAUGUUCAAGUAUUAAUUACUCAUUAUGAAAAUAAAAAGAGAAUAAAUGACUGAAUAGGUAGUUGUAGCAAUAACUUCUAAAGAAAUGUGUGUAGUUGUGACAGACAAAUCUGGUUUGCAGAUAGCUGGUUUUCUGCGAAAUAUAUUUUAGUAUAGCCUUUAUUCAAUAUUUAAACUGGUACAGCACUUAAAUACUUUUGGGGGAUUAGAUAAUAAUUUUAUCAAAAUAUUUAAAACUCGGAAUCAGUUAAACAAUAAAAUAAGGAGUCAGACUUAUUGCGAUAAGGUAGUAAGUCAAAAAGGAAACAACCUAGACUAUUAAAUUAAUGUCCCUAAUAUUGAUUAAGUGAACAUAAUCUAUUUUAUUUAUUUCUUUUGCAUUGCAAUUGUUUUAAAUUAAUUUAAAUUAUAGACAAUUAGUUAGUGGGUUUGAUAAUAACCAUCUUAUAAAGAACAUGUAACAAUGCACUAAUUUGAUUUAUAUUUUUAUAUAUUUAUAUAUAUUUAAAUAUUUAUUAAAAAUAGAGAUAAUAUAACGGGUCUAAAUUAAUAACAUAAUUAUAGAUAUUAAUUAAAUUAUAUAUAAAAGUAUAAUUAUUCCGUAAGCUACGCUAGCGGUAUUAUAAUAAUUAAUAUGGUAGCAGAAUAUAUAAUGAAAAAUUAUAAAGAGAUUGCUGGCUUGAGUAACGAUAGAUAAUGAAAGAUUAUCCCCCUAUUUAUAAGGUUUAACUAUAAACGAACGGUCCCUAAGAUAAUAUAGAAAUAUAAUAAUUGAUGGGUGAUAAAACAAGAAAAUAAAAAAGAACCGUACUGUAGACCGACACAGGUAUAAUUAAAGGGGAAUGGGAUAACUACUCUGAAUGAACUCGGCAAAUAAAGUAAAUAUUUAAAAUCGUGCGACUGUUUACCAAAAACAUAGCUUAUUGCAUAUUAGUAAUAAUAAGUAUAAUAAGUGAUAUCUGCCCGGUGUUUGUUUAAUAAUUAUAUUUACUUAAUAGGUAAAUUAAAAAAAAAUAGAUAAACGGCAGUCUUAUUGUGAGGAUUCGAAGGUAGCGAAAUUCAUUGACGUAUAAUUGACGUCCUGCAUGAAUGAAUAAACGAUGCGAUGACUGUAUCCAGAGUAGACUCAGUGAAAUAGCAAUUGCGGUGAAGAUGCCGUAUAUCUGUAGGUUGACAAAAAGACCCUAUGCAGCUUUACUAUAAUUUUAUUUUGAUUAUUUUUAAUUAUCUAUUUCAGAUAGAUUAGGUUAUAUUUAUUUAUUAAUUAUUAUAAAAAAUAAUUAAUUUAUUUAAAUCAAAUGAGAUACCUAUAUAUUUAAUUAAAAUAUCUAAUUUUAUAUUAAAAUAAAAGACAGAGUAAAAUGGUUAGUUUCGAUGGGGCGUCGACAUCAGCGAAAGCAUCUGAUGUGUCUAAAAAUAAAUAUAAUUUUAAUUAUCCCGCUAGCUGCAGUGCAGCUAGCGGGCAUUAUAUAAAUAUUAAAUUAAUUUAGUUUAAUUAAGAUUAAACUUCUAUUAUUUAAUAGUAAAUUACGUACAAUAUUUCUAUAUGGUAAAUAGAUAAAAGUUAAAAGGAUAACAACAUAAUUGUGCGAUGAUAAUAACACUAACAAGUGGAAUUAGUACUUACGUAGAGUGUAGUGAACAGGCAUAAUCAAUUGGUAUGGAUGUCGAUAACGGAUUAACCGCGUGAGAGUUGAUAUUGUCAGCGGUGUUUGCCACCUCGAUGUCGUCUAGACUCGUCCUCCUGGUCGCAGCAACUAGGUAGGGUAGGACUGUUCGUCCUCUAAGGAGUUACUUGAGAUGGGUUAAUUACGACGUGAGUCAGUAAUGAUUUUAUCAUCUAUAGAUACUUUUCUUAACUGUUGCCUUAAGUGUACGCAAGGAUAAUAAGGUAUAUUUCAAUGAUUUAUUGUUAAUUUUUAAAUUUAAUUAUUAACAAUUAAGUUAAAAAUAUUGAGUUUAUAUAUUGAAUGCAUAUCAAAUAUUAAAUCCUUCAGUUUAAGAUUAAACAUAAUAGAUUAUUAUGUUAUAGUAAUUUAGUUUUAUUAACUAUAUUAACUAAUUUAAAUAUAUUUAUUUAAAUAUAUUUAUAAAACAUAUACCU